UGAAUUGCAGAACUCCGUGAACCAAUGGCCUCUUGAACGUGCAUUGCGCUCUUGGGAUAUGCCUGAGAGCAUGUCUGCUUCAGUGCUUCUACUUUCAUUUUAUGCUGCUCUUGUUAUCGGGACCACUGUUGCUGCAUGCUUCUGCAAAAGGCACUGGCAUGCUAAGUAUCAAGUUUUGCUUGCUGUUCUGACUGAUCAACAUCUCAUGUCGUUUCAGUUGGCGAAACAAAAGCUGAAGUGUGUUCUUAACACUUCCUAGCAUGAAGUCAGACAAGUGAACCCGCUGAACUUAAGCAUAUGGAUCCCA
RNAcentral lists this ribosomal RNA (307 nucleotides) under Symbiodinium sp. A4. RNAcentral describes it as "eukaryotic LSU rRNA". The stretch from base 1 to 88 matches the Rfam family "5.8S ribosomal RNA", at positions 68 to 154 of the family's 154-position model. The record is from RNAcentral. Lineage: Eukaryota; Dinophyceae; Suessiales; Symbiodiniaceae.